UACAAUGUCGUCAUUUUCUUCCUCGGACAUGUCCAGCGGUUUGACUAGGUCGUCAUUUUCUGCCUUGGUAAUGUCCAGCGCUUUCACUAGGUCGUUAUUUUCAGCCUUGGAAAUGUCCAGCGCUUUCACAAUGUCGGAUUUUUCAGCUUUGGUAAUGUCCAGCGUUUUCACAAGGUCGUUGUUUUCAGCCUUGGUAAUGUCCAGCGCUUUGACAAGGUAGGAUUUUUCAGCCUUGGUAAUGUCCAGCGCUUUCACAAGGUCGUUGUUUUCAGCCUUGGUAAUGUCCAGCGUUUUCACAAGGUCGGAUUUUUCAGCCUUGGUAAUGUCCAGCGUUUUCACAAGGUCGGAUUUUUCAGCCUUGGUGAUGUCAAGCGCUUUCACAAGGUCGGAUUUUUCAGCCUUGGUAAUGUCCAGCGUUUUCACAAGGUCGGAUUUUUCAGCCUUGGUGAUGUCAAGCGCUUUCACAAGGUCGGAUUUUUCAGCCUUGGUAAUGUCAAGCGUUUUCACAAGGUCUUUGUUUUCAGCCUUGGAAAUGUCCAGCGUUUUCACAAGGUCGGAUUUUUCAGCCUUGGUAAUGUCCAGCAUUUUCACAAGGUCGGAUUUUUCAGCCUUGGUAAUGUCAAGCGUUUUCACAAGGUCGGAUUUUUCAGCCUUGGUAAUGUCAAGCGCUUUCACAAGGUCGGAUUUUUCAGCCUUGGUAAUGUCAAGCGUUUUCACAAGGUCGGAUUUUUCAGCCUUGGUAAUGUCCAGCAUUUUCACAAGGUCGGAUUUUUCAGCCUUGGUAAUGUCAAGCGUUUUCACAAGGUCGGAUUUUUCAGCCUUGGUAAUGUCCAGCGUUUUCACAAGGUCUUUGUUUUCAGCCUUGGUAAUGUCCAGCGUUAUCACAAGGUCGGAUUUUUCAACCUUGGUAAUGUCCAGCGUUUUCACAAGGUCGUUGUUUUCAGCCUUGGUAAUGUCCAGCGCUUUCACAAGGUCGUUGUUUUCAGCCUUGGUAAUGUCCAGCGUUUUCACAAGGUCUUUGUUUUCAGCCUUGGUAAUGU
Long non-coding RNA from Eriocheir sinensis (Chinese mitten crab), 1040 nucleotides. RefSeq lists it as uncharacterized. Lineage: Eukaryota; Metazoa; Arthropoda; Malacostraca; Decapoda; Varunidae. The record is from RefSeq and is a predicted model, not a curated record. The transcript is spliced from 4 exons.